GAACGUGAUUUGCGUUGCAUUUUUCAUGUGAUUUGUCAUUAUUCUAAACUGAUUUGACGAGCUGCUUUUCCAGCGAUUUAAAUAGAAGCGGCGGUGAUUUGAUACUAUACUGAUGAUUUGAUUUGAUACGAUAUUGCUGUUUAAAAACGCAAUUACCCAUGGGAAGAGAGAGCCCAUUGAGAAGACUCCAACCACCCACAAUAGCUUACAUUGGCAUAUUUUCAUACGAGUCGUUAAUCAAAUAUGUCUAAAGAAUGUGUUUGUUUGGAAAUCUCUUUAAGUUAUAGCAGUACGUAGGAAAAUAUAAAUAAAUGUAUAGAAAAUAUAAAAAUUCAUGCCAAUAGAUUCAUGCAGUGAAAAGAAUGGCACAAUUUAUGUGAAAAUCACGUCGAAUACCCGUCCCAAAUUGUAGUUGGUCAACCGAUUCACUUCCUCGUACCUAUAACCACCAUCAAACAUUUCCGGCGGUUUGCUUGUUGCUUCGGGACUGGAGCGGGAUCAUCGUUACUCACAAAUAGCAAAAGUCAGGCCCAUACUUGGCUUAAAUUCGGAAUAGAGUGGUGUUUGGCAUACACGCCUUUAUCCGACAAGUAAAGCUGGAUAAAAAUACCUGACAGGCAUUUAAAAAAAUAUUGUCACCAUUCUAACAAUCAUGUCCGCCAAGGGCAAAAGGGAUAACGUGGCAGUUUUUUCCUCAAUCCAACCUCAUCAACCCAUCAUCCAAACUCAUCAAUCACCAUACUGUAACGAUGAGUAAUGCUGCUGUAACAAUAUUGAUAAAUACAGAGUCCACCCUUAUAUAGAAUGUAAUAAAUCAAAAGGGGAAGACAUGGAAGGGGACACAAGAAAACCGCAUAAAGAAUGAAGCCAACCUGCAUUGGAAGCAGCAAAUAAAAACAGACAGAUGAAGAAGACAUCUAUAUAUGUCUUCAACCGCUUUCAAUAUCAUUGUUUGAAACACUUACAUUCUAGUGGUUAUCGAGGUGAAAAAAGACAACCCACAUGAAAUCAAUCCAAAAGUAAAAAAUGAUAUAACUGUUUCUGGAAAAGUUUUGAAAAAUUUUAAUGUGAAAUUGACUUCCAGAAAUCCAAUGAGGACACUCAGUUUAAAGAUGACUAGUACUACAGUAAAAUUCAUAAAGACACAGUCCCAGCUCGAUAUGAAUUUACGGUUUUAAAAAAAUUAAUUUUUAUUUGACCUUAGCUUUGACCAAGUGAUGAAAUAUGCUCCCCCAUUUUAAAAAGGAUCAACGCCAUGUUUUUUCGGUGGUCCUUAAUUUCCGAUGAACUUGCUGAAGACCUUUAUCCAGAUCAACCUUUUGGUGAUGCCUACAUCAUCCCUCUUUUGCCCAUAGGGCUUAAAAUCCUUAUUUUGCUUUAGGUUUUCAAAAAUUAUGCGUUACUUCAUUAUAUAUUUUUUUGCAUAGGAUCGUUUAUUUAUACUUUUUUCUUUAAAAAAAUUGGAUGUCAGAAAAAAUCCUUACAGCCACAAUGAAAAAAGACCCGUUAAACUUGGAUAGAUCUGAUGGAUCUGAUCAAGGUAUAGAAAAACGUAAGCCUCGUGUUGACUCAGGCUUACUUAGGAUCACGCAACCGUAUCCUAUUCUUUACACAAAUAGCAUAACCUCGUAAAAAAAUUUAUAGCUGACGAUGACAAUUUGAGUCCCAUCAACAAUCAGCGGUACAGCGGAGUCACCCGUCAUUAAAAUUAGAAGAUAAUAACUAAUUAGAGAUAUGCAAAGUAGUUAAACUUGUUACGCAAAGUUCUGAUAUUGAUCAUCUUUUUCUUUUAUAGGUAAGGGAGACUGAAGUAAGCCGGGACGGUUUUCGUUUUCCCCCUAUUUCUUCCAAACUAAUCAUUAAAUUUAUUUAUAAUUUAGUUUUUAUGUUUUCCAUACCGUAAUGUACCCCCCAUAUGUUUUGUAUAAUUUAACAAUCAACCAUUUUCCCAUAUAAGACAUUUAAAGUUUUCUCAGAUUUGUGGGAGGUACCUAUUUUGAGGGGUAUGUGAGGACACUGGGGUGGGUGGUGAGAGACGUCCUCCAAUUUCGCCUUAAAAUUCAUUAAAAAAUUUGUAAAAAUUUAAAUAGCGUCCCACUGCAUAGACUCUAUAAGU
Long non-coding RNA from Daphnia pulicaria, 2116 nucleotides. RefSeq lists it as uncharacterized. The record is from RefSeq and is a predicted model, not a curated record. Lineage: Eukaryota; Metazoa; Arthropoda; Branchiopoda; Diplostraca; Daphniidae. The transcript is spliced from 4 exons.